UUUGAAGCAAAUAUGCAAAUAUUGAUAAAGAAUAAAGUUUAACUUUUUAUCCAGGGUUGAAUACUGAUAUGUGGAUUCUGGACAGAAACUUUUGCUCCUUACUCUAAUCAGCACCAUUAUUUCAAUUUUUUAAAACACAUUUUCAUUGCAAUGACAUUUUGAUAAAUGAUUCAUUACCCGUUAGGAUUAUGAAUGAAUAUGUAUUGUGGCCGCAUUCUAAAGAAUUUUACACGUUUUGGGAAACGCAUAGAUAGUCUAUAAAUGUAAGACAUUCUAGUUGGCCUUAAUUUUUGCCCAUACACAUCUAACACAUUAUCAGCCAAAGAUUAUUUCCUAACAAGACCACUAAGUGACGCUUGCAUUUAAAACCAUGCCAUUGUUACAUAGUUCAAGCACGAUCGUUUUUUAUCGAAUUUGUAUUUGUCUAUGGUUUGUAGUACUACCAUAGAGCGUAUAUUUCAAUUAGUGACUACAACACCACAGCAGGGUCAGCUCGUACUAAAAAGGACACUGUCCUGUGAAGAACUAGCGCUUAGGUGAGGGUUAUCGAGAGAAUAAAGUAUAAACACAUGUUCCUCUGGGAAAAAACACAGCGUGCUUGCAGAUUUCUGCAGCUUUUUUGUCUUGAACUGUAUUCGUUUUAGACGAUUAACGUUGCUAAGUAUUACUGGUGGUUUUCUAUCUGGUAACUGGUAAAUUGUGGUUUACGGGCGGGAGUUAAAGCGCCGUUUUUAAAUAUGGAGAAGUGACAGCGAAAACAACACAGAUUACGUUGUUUGUGGUUUACGCUAUUGGAAUCUUUAAGUAUGUUAUUGCGUUUUGUACUCUUUCGACAGCUAAGUUAGCUAGAUGUCCGUAUCCACCCAAUGAAAUAAUGACAUUAGUGACUUUAAUAAUAGCUAGUUUAUUGUGCUACACAGGUUAAUUCAGUUGCAUGGACGACUGUGUGGGGUGGUUCGGCGGACCGCUCCUUAGGGGCGCGAUGAACCACCCCGCCAUGUCACAGUCUACUCCCCUGUUCCCGAACCUCAGUGCCUUGGCUGGCACACCAGCUGCUCUGUCAGCCUCCGACAUGGAGCUACAGAAGAUGCUUAUUGACGAGCGGAUGCGAUGCGAGCACCAUAAGACCAACUACCAGACCCUGAAGGCCGAACACACCAGAAGUUGAAUGUGUCCUUCGAAGUGGUGUUGGUGGGGGAGGGCAGCUCCCCCCUGGAGGUCAGCGUGCUGGAUUGUGACACGGUGGAGCAGGCGAAGGAGAAAAUUCUAGGGGCCUUCAAGAGCAAGUUUGGCUUCCCC
Anguilla rostrata (American eel) is the source of this 1299-nucleotide long non-coding RNA. RefSeq lists it as uncharacterized. The transcript is spliced from 3 exons. The record is from RefSeq and is a predicted model, not a curated record. Lineage: Eukaryota; Metazoa; Chordata; Actinopteri; Anguilliformes; Anguillidae.